CCACACCUAAAAACUUUCCACGUGAACUGUCGUUAUUUGUUGUGUGUGUGCGYGUUGGUAGCAUGCGUGUUUGCUUACGCUUYGGUGUUUGCGAGUGYGYGUGYUGKCGGUGCGCAGACUGAACGAAGGUCGUGUGUUGCUGUGUGYCUGCUGCACYGCUGACUUUGCAUUGAUUUGCAUGAUGUUGGCGGAGYGGCGGGUGCUGUUGCRUGCGCGGCUGACCUAUUUUUUUCAAACCCCAUACGUAAAUGACUGAAUAUACUGUGAGAACGAAAGUUCUUGCUUUUAACUAGAUAACAACUUUCAGCAGUGGAUGUCUAGGCUCGCACAUCGAUGAAGAACGCUGCGAACUGCGAUACGUAAUGCGAAUUGCAGAAUUCAGUGAGUCAUCGAAAUUUUGAACGCAUAUUGCACUUCCGGGUUAURCCUGGAAGUAUGUCUGUAUCAGUGUCCGUAAAUCAAACUUGCGUUUCUUCCUUCCGUGUAGUCGGUGGAGGAGAGUUGCAGAUGUGAAGUGUCUCGCUGUGGUUGGUGUUUGUUGUUUGCAAUGAAUGCACAGCUUGCGAGUCCUUUUAAAUGGACACGACUUUCUCUUUUUUGUAUGUGCGCGGUGCUGUGCGUGAACGCGGUGGUUUUCGGAUCGCUCGCGGCUGUCGGCGACUUCGUGAAUGCAUAAUGGAGUGGACCUCGAUUCGCGGUAUGUUGGGCUUCGGCUGGACAAUGUUGCUUAUGUGUGUCUGUCCG
RNAcentral lists this ribosomal RNA (744 nucleotides) under Globisporangium irregulare. RNAcentral's name for it is "eukaryotic LSU rRNA". The stretch from base 299 to 453 matches the Rfam family "5.8S ribosomal RNA". The record is from RNAcentral. Lineage: Eukaryota; Oomycota; Peronosporomycetes; Pythiales; Pythiaceae.